AGUAAUGUAAUCUUAAAUAGCUAUUUCGUUAGCUUUUAAUUAAAUAUUACUAGGUAUACCAUUAAGGAUAAGCUUAAGGGUCUAGUUGGGUUUAAUAUAAUUAAAUAAGUUGUGUGGGCUUAAAAUCAGCUAUCACAAAAGUUUGUUACAAAAUAACUAUUAUAUCAAUAAAAAAUUUAUAUGUUUAAUGCCAGUUAUUAAUGAAGAUAAAAUCAAGAACUAAUAAUGAAUUCUGCCUAUGCUAAGAUGAGUAUUACAAUUUUUAUUUAAAUGGAAUAAAUUAUAUUUUCCUCCAUUAUAUCAUAAUUUAACUAUAUUAAGUGAAUGAAAGGAACUCGGCAAAAUGAUACGCUCCGCCUGUUUAUCAAAAACAUGGCUCCUCGAAUCUUUAGUAUGAGGAGUCAGACCUGCCCAGUGAAAAAUUUUAACGGCCGCGGUACUCUGACCGUGCAAAGGUAGCAUAAUCAUUUGCCUUAUAAUUGAAGGCUAGUAUGAAUGGUUUAACGUGAGCAAAACUGUCUCUCUUUCAUUUCUUAAAAAUUAACCUUUAGGUGAAGAGGCCUAAAUUUUAUUAAAGGACAAGAAGACCCUGUCGAGCUUAAAAUCGAUAAUAGAAGUUAAUAUCACAUAGAAAUAAAUAAAUCUAUUUAGUUUUUUAGUUGGGGCGACUGAGGAACAAAUAAAGCUUCUUUUAAAAUAAUAAGCUAAAUAGCAUUGAUCCAGUACAUAACUGAUCAAAAGAAUUAGUUACCGCAGGGAUAACAGCAUAAUCUCUCUUGAGAGACCUAAUCGAAAGAGGGGGUUGUGACCUCGAUGUUGGACUAGAAUAUCCGGAAGAUGCAGACGUCUUCAAAGGUUGGUCUGUUCG
Molecule: ribosomal RNA, 868 nt
Filed under: Anceya giraudi
Lineage: Eukaryota; Metazoa; Mollusca; Gastropoda; Thiaridae
Description: partial 16S ribosomal RNA
Rfam family: Bacterial large subunit ribosomal RNA
Source: RNAcentral